CCUACGGGGGACAGCAGUAGGGAAUAUUGCUCAAUGGGGGAAACCCUGAAGCAGCAACGCCGCGUGGAGGAUGAAGGUUUUCGGAUUGUAAACUCCUUUUGUUAGAGAAGAAAAUGACGGUAUCUAACGAAUAAGCACCGGUUAACUCCGUGCCAGCAGCCGCGGUAAUACGGCGGGUGCAAGCGUUACUCGGAAUCACUGGGCGUAAAGGGCGCGUAGGCGGGAUAGCAAGUCAGAUGUGAAAUCCUAUGGCUUAACCAUAGAACUGCAUUUGAAACUGUUAUUCUAGAGUAUGGGAGAGGUAGGUGGAAUUCUUGGUGUAGGGGUAAAAUCCGUAGAGAUCAAGAGGAAUACUCAUUGCGAAGGCGACCUGCUAGAACAUAACUGACGCUGAUGCGCGAAAGCGUGGGGAGCAAACAGGAUUAGAUACCCUGGUAGUC
RNAcentral lists this ribosomal RNA (440 nucleotides) under uncultured bacterium. RNAcentral's name for it is "partial 16S ribosomal RNA". It matches the Rfam family "Bacterial small subunit ribosomal RNA", at positions 338 to 795 of the family's 1533-position model. The record is from RNAcentral.